This 159-nucleotide small RNA is filed under the name Arabidopsis thaliana (thale cress). RNAcentral describes it as "ATSL290820". The record is from RNAcentral. Lineage: Eukaryota; Viridiplantae; Streptophyta; Magnoliopsida; Brassicales; Brassicaceae.
UUAUUACAAGAAGACAAGAAACUGAGGAGGCUACAAAAUCUGGUGAGCAUGCUGAGGGGGAGGCAAAUGAUUCGCAAUCCGGGGAAAAGAAAGAGGACACAGAUGGUGAAGACGAAAUUAGAUCAGCUGAUAAGGAGGAACCUGAGUCUCAAGCCCGGG